UACGGAGGAUCCAAGCGUUAAUCGGAAUUACUGGGCGUAAAGCGUGCGCAGGCGGCUUUGCAAGACAGAUGUGAAAUCCCCGGGCUCAACCUGGGAACUGCAUUUGUGACUGCAUGGCUAGAGUGCGGCAGAGGGGGAUGGAAUUCCGCGUGUAGCAGUGAAAUGCGUAGAUAUGCGGAGGAACACCGAUGGCGAAGGCAAUCCCCUGGGCCUGCACUGACGCUCAUGCACGAAAGCGUGGGGAGCAAACAGG
RNAcentral lists this ribosomal RNA (253 nucleotides) under uncultured bacterium. RNAcentral describes it as "partial 16S ribosomal RNA". It matches the Rfam family "Bacterial small subunit ribosomal RNA", at positions 524 to 776 of the family's 1533-position model. The record is from RNAcentral.